Molecule: ribosomal RNA, 832 nt
Filed under: uncultured bacterium
Lineage: Bacteria
Description: bacterial SSU rRNA
Rfam family: Bacterial small subunit ribosomal RNA
Source: RNAcentral
GCUCAGGAUGAACGCUAGCUACAGGCUUAACACAUGCAAGUCGAGGGGCAGCAUGACGAUAGCUUGCUAUUGUUGAUGGCGACCGGCGCACGGGUGAGUAACGCGUAUCCAACCUGCCCUUGUCCAUCGGAUAACCCGUCGAAAGGCGGCCUAACACGAUAUGCAGUUCUCAGCAGGCAUCUAACGAGAACGAAAUGUGAAGGAGAAGGAUGGGGAUGCGUCUGAUUAGCUUGUUGGCGGGGUAACGGCCCACCAAGGCGACGAUCAGUAGGGGUUCUGAGAGGAAGGUCCCCCACAUUGGAACUGAGACACGGUCCAAACUCCUACGGGAGGCAGCAGUGAGGAAUAUUGGUCAAUGGGCGAGAGCCUGAACCAGCCAAGUAGCGUGCAGGAUGACGGCCCUAUGGGUUGUAAACUGCUUUUAUAGGGGGAUAAAGUGUGCCACGUGUGGCAUAUUGCAGGUACCCUAUGAAUAAGGACCGGCUAAUUCCGUGCCAGCAGCCGCGGUAAUACGGAAGGUCCGGGCGUUAUCCGGAUUUAUUGGGUUUAAAGGGAGCGUAGGCCGUCUGGUAAGCGUGUUGUGAAAUGUCGGGGCUCAACCUGGGCAUUGCAGCGCGAACUGUCAGACUUGAGUGCGCGGGAAGUAGGCGGAAUUCGUCGUGUAGCGGUGAAAUGCUUAGAUAUCACGAAGAACUCCGAUUGCGAAGGCAGCUCACUGGGGCGCAACUGACGCUGAAGCUCGAAAGCGCGGGUAUCGAACAGGAUUAGAUACCCUGGUAGUCCGCGCGGUAAACGAUGGAUGCCCGCUGUUGGGCCAACUGGUUCAGCGGCC